GUUCCUCCCCAGCCGCGUUCAAUCAGGCUCUCUGGGCGUGGGCCCCGGGCAUGGGCAAUCCUGAGAGCUCCCCAGGUGAUGCUAAUGAGAAACCAGGGCCAAGACCUGAGGCCUAUUUCUCGCAUGCUCCAGGGUGCCUGGAGAGGGACGCCAGCAGCGAGCGGGAUGCCAGGUCAAACAAAACACAUCUGCAGGCCACUAAGUGGGAACCUCUCUGAGGUCUCUAAGUUUUAGUAUCUUUGCCCUGCUCCCACCCACGUGGCCCCUGGGAAGCCCUGGUGCAUGACAACAGCAGCACUGAGUGUGACAGUGCUGCGCUUGGGUUGGGGCAUCAGCCACGAGCUCCAGCAACAGGUGAACUACAGAGGUGACAGACAGGCAACCGUCUGUCCUCGGUCCCAGCCUUGCUGAGCACAUGACCUACUGUCGUCCCACGCCCCACCUCAGGCAGAGAGCUGGGCAGAAUGGACAAGCAGGAGAGUGGGGGCGAGCUCCAGCUGGGGGUUCUCUUUACCCCAAGCUGCUCACCCCGAGUCCUCUCCUCGGGUUGUUGGCUUAUUUUUGAGUUGUUGUUUUGGCUUUUAAUUACAUUUAAAAUGUGUUUUAAAAACCAUUAUUGUUUUUUAUUAUAAAAGUAAUAUUAAGUUUAUUGUGGAUAAUUUGGAAUAUACAGGAAAGUAUGAAGAGGAAAUGAAAAUCACCUAUAAUCUCAACUGCCCCUCGGGUUCUGAAUACAGAAUGAGUCCAGGCCGUUCUGAAAGAGGGGCCCUACUUCAGUGUGCCGCAGGAGGGGCCCCGGAGGUCUCCUCCCAUGGGAACAGAGUUCCAUUUCCUGAAAGCGGGGACAUUCAACACCUUCAAAAGGCUGGUCCAUCAGACCUUUGAUACUUGUCAGAGACAGACUGUGAGAACCCACCUUCUUUUUCAGAUCAACACUUCUUCCUCAUACAUAAUAACAAAAAUUCCCAUUACAAAGAGAUCCUUAGGGAAGGACCUGUUGGCUGUCGGAGGCAGCAGCUGGAGGUGAGAAAAGACCUCUCACCAAGGCCGCAUGUGCCCUCUGGUGGCAGCUGGAGGGGAUGGCUCCAGGCAGGGCUUGGCCCCGGCCAGCCCUCGCUCUCAUCAGCGGUUCUCAAAGGGGGGGGUCGCAUGACCCACCUCACUUGGGAACUUGUUAGAAACACAAUUUUUCAGGCUCUACCCUAGACCUCUUGAAUCAGAAGCUCUGGGGAUGGGACCCAGCACUUUGUGUUUUAACAAGCCCUUCCAGCGGCUG
Molecule: long non-coding RNA, 1276 nt
Filed under: Equus caballus (horse)
Lineage: Eukaryota; Metazoa; Chordata; Mammalia; Perissodactyla; Equidae
Description: lncRNA (ENSECAG00000056778.1)
Source: RNAcentral